CUGUAAGUUUGUAAUGUUGUGUGAGCCACACCUGGGUUAAAAUACUAUUUCAAUUACUUUCACAUACUUUGAAAUGUGGCAACAAUGUCAUACUCUGUUGGACCAGACAGCAUCAGAUAGAUGGCCUACACAUACAGAGACAGAGGGACGCUGUUUCCCUCGCUCGGAUGUUUUCUCAGGCCAAGGACCUCAGCUACUCAGAGAUGGACCUCCGUGCCAAGCCCAAGAGGUUCGGCACGUUCACCUUUGGCUUGAAGAGGAGGAAGAAGAAGAGUGCCGGGGAUCUCUCCCAGAGCAUCGUGGUCCUCCAUGGCCCCGAGCCAGAGGACAAAGGGCAAGAGGAGGAGGAGCUUCUGAACCUCAGCCUCUGGGACAUCGGCCAAGGCGGCACUCUGAACAAGAGCGUAAGGUUCGCUGUGUCUCAGCCUGACCUAAACACUAAGACACUGGUCACCUCUUAUCCUCCUCCCACUGUCCCCAAGAAAUCGCAGGCCCAGGAGCCACCGAUGGACAGUCCUAAGACUGCCACUAACCAACCAAAUUCCCAGAUGGAUAACAUUAUUCCUCUUGAAGUGGGCCGGGCUACAAGAAAAGUUCCUUUAGCUAUGCCUGAGGUGGAGUGGAACGAGAUCUCACAGGAAGAGGAGAGCCCGGAUGUUCAGUGUGACAACCCGUAUGCCUCAACAGACCAUACUGACACAGCUUCUCCAAUGGAUGUUGAUAGCUUUAACCGAAGUCCUCCACCUUUCCCACCUAACCCACCUCCACCGUCCUAUCCAUCUAGCCCACCCCCCUGCUACCCAUUGAGCCCAGCUACAUCCUUUUCCCCCUUUAGCUCUCCUCCUGCUACAGUUUACACCUCAAACGAGAGUGAUGAAAUGUCCCCCUUACCACUAUUCACAGGGUCAGCACUGGGUAUUUUUCAUCCUGUCCUUCCUGUGACUGAACUCUCACUUAGCAAAACUGAGGCCUCUUAUGUUACUCUCUCCAUUGGACAACCUGUUGUUGUUGAAAAUAUCACCACUGUUACCCCUAAUACAGAUCCCUCUCCCAUUGCCUUGGACCCCAAUAUAGAUGCCACUAUUACUGAAACGGACACAACUGACGUUAAACCCGAGACCUUUCCUCUGAACCCUGAUUCUUUGGCUGACAACACUGAGACACCUAUUCUCAACACCGUCACCUCUGCUCUUAUCACCGUCAACUCUGUUACUGACAUGGACACCAACUCCAUCAAUGAUACCUCUGUCUCCACCACUGAUACAUCUAGGCCUAUGCCUGAAACGAUCACCUCCAUCACCUCUGAAGAGUUCAGCAUUGCUAUUGCUGAUCCUGGCCCCUCUCUCGCUGAAAUGGUCAUCCCCGUUCCAAGCACUGACAAAUCUACACCUGAAAUGCUAGCCUCCUUUGCAAACACUGUCAACUCCAUUACCAACAGUGUCAACACUGUCCCCAACACUGACACUUUCUCUGCCAACACGGAGGUAUUUGGAACUCUGUAUGACUCACUAUUUCCGCAAAGUUUCACCUCGGAACAAAAAUCUGCCACAUCAGACAAUGACUCUACUGAGGGAUGCCUCGACACCAACCUAACCGUAAUAAAGGAUGAAACUAACCCACACCUGUCCUUGGAUAGCCCCUUUGACUCACCAAGUCCCAUUUUACCUGAAUCAGUUAAACAGGAGUCUAAAACUGCCAUUGAUCACACUGAAGCUAGUGUCAGUGACCCCACCCAAUCAUUACAGUCUGCCACUGACGCCCUUGUCCCCGGCAUGGAUAUACCUGCCACUGCAGUCUCCAAAAUGGAUUCCAGCCACCCUGACACAGACACCACUGCUAAUACUAACCUCACUGUUACUGAUACCGACUCUCAACCACUAUUCGAAGAUCUUUACGACUCUCUUUUCCCUGGAAUGUUCCCCUCACCUCACAUAUCUGGCCACACCGCAUCUGCUCUCAGCACUUACACUUCUGGCAUUGUGACAUCGGGCGUGAUGAUGGACACUCGAUGCACACCUCCUAAUAUAGACGCUCCUUUUGAGAACAAGCUUCCCCCUGUUCCUCAAACAGACACUGUCCACCCUAGCACAGAUGUCUCCCUCGCUGAGCCUGAGGCCUUUGCGCCUCUGUGCUUUGAGCCUACACUCCCCACAACUGAGCCAAUGGAAAUGGAUGACUUAGAGCCUGAGCGUCCCACCUCAGACUCACCUCUCCCAAAUACCGAUAUCGCUGUCCCUGAUACUGGCUCUAGUGACACAUGUGAAUCUCUCUAUGACUUUCUUUUCCCUGAACGUUUUCUUUCUGACCAGGUGUCCACCAUUUCUGACCCCGACCGUGAUAAACCAGUCUACGUUACGGACACCGAUUCUGUUCCACUCCGACCAGAUUGCAACACUCGACCAAACCUUGUUGAUCAGUCGGAGCCUUUGACCGCAGCUCUUCCAGUUGACCUUGAUACGGAGGACACUGAAAACACAGAUCUCGUCCUUCAUCAUUCUGAUAUGAACAUGGACAACUCUGAUCACAUUCUCUCGGACAAUGUCACCCUCGUUUCUGACAUUCUUAGCGCUAGCCAUCCAAGCACUAAGAAUUCCAGUACUCUUGAAACCAACAUCUCCAUUGAUGCGUCCGUCGCCUCAACAAUAGCAGAGACAAUGGCUACUGAAACAGGUCAAGAAGUAGCAGUGCAGAUUAUGAAAGAGGAAAAUGGACAGAUUGAGCAGAAUAUUAUGUCCUAUGAUGUAGACAUUGUCAGGGAAAGAUCAAAUGACAUGUCCACCAUGGCUACUGAGAAAGUUCAAGAAGCAGAGGUGGAGGUAAUGGAUGAGGCCAACAGCAUAGAUUCUAAUAGACAGAUUAAGGAACAAAUGCCCUGUGAUGCAGACGUUAACAGGGCAAGCUCACAGUGUGUGAUCAUACCAGAGAACAGCAAUGCCAUGGAAGUCGCAAUACCAGCGGUCCAUUACAGCAUCCUGGAGGAUUACAUGGAGGAGAGUGGCGUUGAAGAGGAAAUGAAAGGAGCGGGAAAACAACGGAGGAAUGGUAAUGAAACAGUUGACGCGGGAUGGAGUUUGGGGUCACAGAAAGUAACGUUAGAAACGAAGGAUAGAGGUCAAGAGAAUGAAGUCCACCGAGAGGAGAAGAGACGCAUUGAGUCCCCAGAAGACGGUGAUGCAGAGAGGCUGGUGCCGGUGGAGGAGAGAGGAGCGAGAGAGGUCUCGGCACUGGUGAAAGAAGGGUGGGAGGAUGGGGUGGAACCAGCCCUACCUGUUCUGCAGGUGCACACACUCAUGGAAUGUGAGUCUCCCGCCCCGCCUUCCAUCACAGAGCAGCAUGGAGAGGAGGAGGGGUCAGGGAGUAACCGGAGUGCAGUUACACACGCUUACCUGGUAACGGAGGCCUGCGCUGAUGCACAUACACUCAGACAGACCCCAGGUCACGAAGAGCCACAGGAGUCUCACAGCGGCGAGAAUGAACACGCUGUCACCGGCAACAGAGAGAGACGGGACACACUCGCAACACAUAACACACUCGCACACACCACAGGCCGAGAGGGGAGCAUUUUAGACACACUCACAGCAGAGGAAGCGGACCUAGUCACUCGUACUACCGAGGACACAUCCUCUUUCUCUGAGCAGAAAGCAAAAGUGAACACCACUAGCACGCAUGGCGAGAACACAUUCACACUUGACAGAGAAGCGACAGCGACAGACACAGAGUCCAGAACAUACACUGUAAAGAUAGAACAUGAAGGGACACUCGGUACUGAGUGGAUAGACAGCAUUGUCACGCAGGAAACAGACCGAGCCAGUUCAGAGCCAGUGCCAGAGCAGGUGGCAGUGAAUCCUCCUGUCACACGAGACACAAUCCUCGACAGACUUCGAAAGAGAGCCAACGGUUUUGCCACUGAGGACACAGAGAGACCCGGUGCAGAGCCAGAGCAGGUGGGAGGGACGCUAUCAGUCACUGCAGAUACACUCCUCAACUCACUGAGGAACAGAGUCAAAUUCCUCAGCCAGCCCGAAGGGUAAGGGAUGACAUUUCAUCUGCUAUCCUUACUCUGAUUUCCUACUUUUCAUGAUGUGUGUGUUUUGAAGUGGAGGUGAUCAAGUUUCAUGUGAUCUUUCUAUGCUAAAUGAGUGAG
Long non-coding RNA from Oncorhynchus tshawytscha (Chinook salmon), 4144 nucleotides. The record is from Ensembl. NCBI's taxonomy places the organism in Eukaryota, Metazoa, Chordata, Actinopteri, Salmoniformes, Salmonidae.